UGGCUUCGCCCGGGUUUGAGCCGGAGACCUUCUGUGUGUUAGACUGAUGUGAUAACCAACUAAACCACAAAACC
RNAcentral lists this transfer RNA (74 nucleotides) under Triticum aestivum (bread wheat). RNAcentral describes it as "tRNA_ValAAC". The record is from RNAcentral. Lineage: Eukaryota; Viridiplantae; Streptophyta; Magnoliopsida; Poales; Poaceae.